GCCUGGGUAGCUUAGUUGGUUAAGUGUCUGACUUCAGCUCAGGUCGUGAACUCACAGUUCAUGGGUUCCAGCCCCGUGCUGGGCU
Molecule: transfer RNA, 85 nt
Filed under: Felis catus (domestic cat)
Lineage: Eukaryota; Metazoa; Chordata; Mammalia; Carnivora; Felidae
Rfam family: tRNA
About the family: Transfer RNA (tRNA) molecules are approximately 80 nucleotides in length. Their secondary structure includes four short double-helical elements and three loops (D, anti-codon, and T loops).
Source: Rfam by way of RNAcentral